Molecule: transfer RNA, 70 nt
Filed under: Marmota monax (woodchuck)
Lineage: Eukaryota; Metazoa; Chordata; Mammalia; Rodentia; Sciuridae
Rfam family: tRNA
About the family: Transfer RNA (tRNA) molecules are approximately 80 nucleotides in length. Their secondary structure includes four short double-helical elements and three loops (D, anti-codon, and T loops).
Source: Rfam by way of RNAcentral
GGUUGUGGCUCAGUGGUAGAGCGCUCACCUGGCACGUGUGACACCCUGGGUUCGAUCCUCAGCACAAUCA